GACGAACGCUGGCGGCAUGCCUAAUACAUGCAAGUCGAGCGGACUUGAAGAGAAGCUUGCUUCUCUGAUGGUUAGCGGCGGACGGGUGAGUAACACGUAGGCAACCUGCCCUCAAGUUUGGGACAACUACCGGAAACGGUAGCUAAUACCGAAUAAUUGUUUCUUCGCCUGAAGGAAACUGGAAAGACGGAGCAAUCUGUCACUUGGGGAUGGGCCUGCGGCGCAUUAGCUAGUUGGUGAGGUAACGGCUCACCAAGGCGACGAUGCGUAGCCGACCUGAGAGGGUGAUCGGCCACACUGGGACUGAGACACGGCCCAGACUCCUACGGGAGGCAG
Molecule: ribosomal RNA, 336 nt
Filed under: uncultured Bacillota bacterium
Lineage: Bacteria; Bacillati; Bacillota
Description: bacterial SSU rRNA
Rfam family: Bacterial small subunit ribosomal RNA
Source: RNAcentral